GAUGAACGCUGGCGGCGGGCCUAAUACAUGCAAGUCGAGCGAACAAACGAGGAGUUUGCCCCUCUGACGUUACCGGCGGACGGGUGAGUAACAGGUGGAUAACCUACCUAUAAGACUGGGAUAACUUCGGGAAACCGGAGCUAAUACCGGUUAAUAUAUUGAACCGCAUGGUUCAAUAGUGAAAGACGUUUUUGCUGUCACUUAUAGAUGGAUCCGCGCCGCAUUAGCUAGUGGGUAAGGUAACGGCUUACCAAGGCAACGAUGCGUAGCCGACCUGAGAGGAGGAUCGGCCACACUGGAACGGAGACAGCGUCCAGACUCCUACGGGAGGCAGCAGGGGGGAAUAUUGGAGAAUGGGCGAAAGACGGAGCCAGCCAUGCCGCGGGUGGGAAGAAGGUCUUCGGAUUGUAAAACACUUUAAGUUGGGAAGAAAAGAAGUAAAAUAAUACCUGGCUGUUUUGACGGGACCAAAAGAAAAAGCCCCGGCUAACUUCGUG
This 497-nucleotide ribosomal RNA is filed under the name uncultured bacterium. RNAcentral describes it as "partial 16S ribosomal RNA". It matches the Rfam family "Bacterial small subunit ribosomal RNA", at positions 28 to 507 of the family's 1533-position model. The record is from RNAcentral.